ACACAACACCCCGACCCCGAACGACACCCCUGACCUCGACAUAGCACCCCCGAUACCUCCCGAAAAGGUGCUCUUCGGCCUUCCAGAGGCCUACGGGGUCAUAUAUUUGUGAAUUAUGAGUUAGGUCAUAUAUUUUUCGAUUUUGUUAUAAAAACAUCGUAUUUGUGUUGAUCAGGUGGUUUUAAAUGUGCAGUUAUUUCAUCGUUGCGAGGGUCUGGUGUUCGACGACCUCCCCGUGCGUUCGAUGAGCUCCGCCCCUGCGUUCAUGGGCUUGGGAAUUGAAGAUACCUAGACUCCCAUGAGGUGGGUAUCAUCAGGUAAAGCUAUGUUAUGAACAGCGACAACUCAUAUGAGGAUGCCGAGGAGAUCAAUUUGAUUCUUUUAUUGCUAUUGUUGCACGACAAUAUCUGUUAUUGUCGCUAUUGUCAGGAAAAAUAUCCCAAUAUACACACUGUAUUUGCCAAUGUAACAGCAUGGUUAAUCUCAAUCUGGGACAAUGCAUUAUUUUCUAAAUAUAGUCAAACAUCACCGGAUAUAUACUUUGAACAGUCAAAGGAACAUGCUACCAGCAGGAAGAAAACAUGCUUGCAUUUUCUUAGAUGGUAUGUAGGACCUGAAUACUAUUUGCCGGACUGCCGACGUACUAUGUAUAUUGUAACAGAACUACGUGGAUGAUAAUAUCAUUAGAUAAACUUGAAAGAAUUAUGGUGGCUGUUAGUUUGCUUGAAGUGAGUAUACACUACAAUGCUUCUCAUAGCUUUAUACUUCUAUGAUGCAAACUUAUGUAUUCUGGAGUUUUUUUUUGCUAGGGAACUCUGAAGCAUGUGGUUGAAGUAAAUCUACAUUCUGAGAAAGAAUUUGCAUAUUCAGGAGGACUGCAAACGUAAUGCUUGCUUUGUUAAGAUUUUUAUGUUCUCGAGGAUGCUAAAGGGUUCCUUCUGAGAACGAAGAGGACAAGCUUGAACUCAAGCUGCCUCUUCACAUAGAAGUGCUUGAACGCAAUAUGCUCCUCCUGAGUCAGCUGACAUAUAUAGAAAUAAGAUUUUAUGAGAAGUAACCUGAAGGUCAGAUUUGUUUUGUAGUAACUGUACCUCUUAUGUUAUCUUUUUCUUCUUUAUGAUUGGGAGUGGUAUAUGUUGUUUUAGAGGGUCUAUUUUUCAGAAAAAAAGAUUAUGCUUUUUUGUUUCUUUACUCAACAUAA
Long non-coding RNA from Triticum dicoccoides, 1201 nucleotides. RefSeq lists it as uncharacterized. The record is from RefSeq and is a predicted model, not a curated record. NCBI's taxonomy places the organism in Eukaryota, Viridiplantae, Streptophyta, Magnoliopsida, Poales, Poaceae. The transcript has 2 exons.